GAUGAACGCUAGCGACAGGCUUAACACAUGCAAGUCGAGGGGCAGCACAGGUAGCAAUACCGGGUGGCGACCGGCGCACGGGUGAGUAACACGUAUCCAACCUGCCGAUAACUCGGGGAUAGCCUUUCGAAAGAAAGAUUAAUAUCCGAUGGUAUACUAAAACCGCAUGGUUUUACUAUUAAAGAAUUUCGGUUAUCGAUGGGGAUGCGUUCCAUUAGUUGUUGGCGGGUAACGGCCCACCAAGACUACGAUGGAUAGGGGUUCUGAGAGGAAGGUCCCCCCACAUUGGAACUGAGACACGGUCCAAACUCCUACGGGAGGCAGCAGUGAGGAAUAUUGGUCAAUGGACGAGAGUCUGAACCAGCCAAGUAGCGUGAAGGAUGACUGCCCUAUGGGUU
This 398-nucleotide ribosomal RNA is filed under the name uncultured bacterium. RNAcentral describes it as "bacterial SSU rRNA". It matches the Rfam family "Bacterial small subunit ribosomal RNA", at positions 28 to 424 of the family's 1533-position model. The record is from RNAcentral.